RNAcentral lists this ribosomal RNA (485 nucleotides) under uncultured bacterium. Its description in RNAcentral is "bacterial SSU rRNA". It matches the Rfam family "Bacterial small subunit ribosomal RNA", at positions 1 to 507 of the family's 1533-position model. The record is from RNAcentral.
ACUACGAGUUUGAUCAUGGCUCAGGAUGAACGCUGGCGGCGUGCCUAAUACAUGCAAGUCGAACGGGGAUUUCAGCAAUGGGAUCCUAGUGGCGAACGGGUGAGUAACGCGUUGGUGACCUGCCCCGAAGAGAGGGAUAACAGACCGAAAGGUUUGCUAAUACCGCAUAAGCUCGAGCUAGUCAGAGAGGCUUGAGGAAAGGCCGAAAGGCGCUUUGGGAGGGGCCUGCGUCCCAUCAGCUAGUUGGCGAGGUAAAAGCUCACCAAGGCGAUGACGGGUAGGGGACCUGAGAGGGUGACCCCCCACAAUGGAACUGAAACACGGUCCAUACACCUACGGGUGGCAGCAGUAGGGAAUAUUGGUUAAUGGGCGAAAGCCUGACCCAGCAACGCCGCGUGCGCGAUGAAGGCCUUCGGGUUGUAAAGCGCUUUUAAGUGGGAUGAGGAAGGACAGUACCACUAGAAUAAGUCUCGGCUAACUACGUG